GAUGAACGCUGGCGGCGUGCCUAAUACAUGCAAGUCGAGCGAACAGACGAGGAGCUUGCUCCUCUGACGUUAGCGGCGGACGGUUGAGUAACACGUGGAUAACCUACCUAUAAGACUGGGAUAACUUCGGGAAACCGGAGCUAAUACCGGAUAAUAUAUUGAACCGCAUGGUUCAAUAGUGAAAGACGGUUUUGCUGUCACUUAUAGAUGGAUCCGCGCCGCAUUAGCUAGUUGGUAUGGUAACGGCUUACCAAGGCAACGAUGCGUAGCCGACCUGAGAGGGUGAUCGGCCACACUGGAACUGAGACACGGUCCAGACUCCUACGGGAGGCAGCAGUAGGGAAUCUUCCGCAAUGGGCGAAAGCCUGACGGAGCAACGCCGCGUGAGUGAUGAAGGUCUUCGGAUCGUAAAACUCUGUUAUUAGGGAAGAACAAAUGUGUAAGUAACUAUGCACGUCUUGACGGUACCUAAUCAGAAAGCCACGGCUAACUACGUG
RNAcentral lists this ribosomal RNA (497 nucleotides) under uncultured bacterium. Its description in RNAcentral is "partial 16S ribosomal RNA". It matches the Rfam family "Bacterial small subunit ribosomal RNA", at positions 28 to 507 of the family's 1533-position model. The record is from RNAcentral.